This 429-nucleotide ribosomal RNA is filed under the name Actinomycetes bacterium. Its description in RNAcentral is "Actinobacteria bacterium partial 16S ribosomal RNA". It matches the Rfam family "Bacterial small subunit ribosomal RNA", at positions 355 to 776 of the family's 1533-position model. The record is from RNAcentral. Lineage: Bacteria; Bacillati; Actinomycetota; Actinomycetes.
UAGGGAAUCUUCCGCAAUGGGCGAAAGCCUGACGGAGCAACGCCGCGUGAGUGAUGAAGGUCUUCGGAUCGUAAAACUCUGUUAUUAGGGAAGAACAAAUGUGUAAGUAACUAUGCACGUCUUGACGGUACCUAAUCAGAAAGCCACGGCUAACUACGUGCCAGCAGCCGCGGUAAUACGUUGGUGGCAAGCGUUAUCCGGAAUUAUUGGGCGUAAAGCGCGCGUAGGCGGUUUUUUAAGUCUGAUGUGAAAGCCCACGGCUCAACCGUGGAGGGUCAUUGGAAACUGGAAAACUUGAGUGCAGAAGAGGAAAGUGGAAUUCCAUGUGUAGCGGUGAAAUGCGCAGAGAUAUGGAGGAACACCAGUGGCGAAGGCGACUUUCUGGUCUGUAACUGACGCUGAUGUGCGAAAGCGUGGGGAUCAAACAGG